This 253-nucleotide ribosomal RNA is filed under the name uncultured bacterium. RNAcentral describes it as "partial 16S ribosomal RNA". It matches the Rfam family "Bacterial small subunit ribosomal RNA", at positions 524 to 776 of the family's 1533-position model. The record is from RNAcentral.
UACGGGGGGGGCAAGCGUUGUUCGGAAUUACUGGGCGUAAAGGGCUCGUAGGCGGCCAACUAAGUCAGACGUGAAAUCCCUCGGCUUAACCGGGGAACUGCGUCUGAUACUGGAUGGCUUGAGGUUGGGAGAGGGAUGCGGAAUUCCAGGUGUAGCGGUGAAAUGCGUAGAUAUCCGGAGGAACACCGGUGGCGAAGGCGGCUUCCUGGACCGACACUGACGCUGAGGCGCGAAAGCUAGGGGAGCAAACGGG